RNAcentral lists this ribosomal RNA (429 nucleotides) under uncultured bacterium. RNAcentral's name for it is "bacterial SSU rRNA". It matches the Rfam family "Bacterial small subunit ribosomal RNA", at positions 355 to 775 of the family's 1533-position model. The record is from RNAcentral.
UGAGGAAUCUUGCGCAAUGGGGGAAACCCUGACGCAGCAACGCCGCGUGAGUGAGGAAGGCCUUCGGGUCGUAAAGCUCUGUCAGAUGGGAAGAAAUGGGUGGGGGCUAAUAUCGUCCAUCCUUGACGGUACCAUCAGAGGAAGCACCGGCUAACUCCGUGCCAGCAGCCGCGGUAAUACGGGGGGUGCAAGCGUUGUUCGGAAUCAUUGGGCGUAAAGCGCGCGCAGGCGGCUUGGUAAGUCAGAUGUGAAAUCCCUGGGCUUAACACAGGAAGUGCAUUUGAUACUGACUCGCUGGAGUACGGGAGAGGAAGGUGGAAUUCCUGGUGUAGAAGGGAAAUUCGUAGAUAUCAGGAGGAGGACCGGUGGCGAAGGAGACUUUCUGGCGCGAUGCUGACGCUCAGGCGCGGAAGCAUGGGGAGCAAACAG